AUGCUGGUGGAUCAUCAAGGAGGGCAACAUCUGCUGCUAGUCCAGCUCCAGCAAGGACUGCAGCCUCUGCUGCUGCCACUGCUGGUGGAUCAUCAAGGAGGGCAACAUCUGCUGAUAGUCCAGCUCCAGCAAGGAGGGCAACAUCUGCUGCUAGUCCAGCUCCAGCAAGGAGGGCAACAUCUGCUGCUGCUCCAGCUAGGAGGCAGCCAGCUGCUCCAGCUGCUCCCAAGGGUAAGGCAGCAGCCAGUAAAUCUUCAUCAUAUGCUCCCAAGAGUAAGGAAUAGUUGCUCCCAAGGGUAA
Molecule: ribosomal RNA, 300 nt
Filed under: Triticum aestivum (bread wheat)
Lineage: Eukaryota; Viridiplantae; Streptophyta; Magnoliopsida; Poales; Poaceae
Description: partial small subunit ribosomal RNA
Source: RNAcentral